AACGAUGUUUUUCGAAAAUUUCGAUGAACUGUAUGCUGCGUGGAAGAGUGAAAGAGAAAGCAUGCUUUGUAUUUUCAUCGAUGUUUCGCAAAGCAUGCUAUCUCUUUCAUUCAUGCUUGCGAAUUUUUCGGAAGUUCUGUCAAAUGAAAACUCUUCGCGUUGUUUGCGUCUUUGAUCGUGGAAAAAGCUAAGCCACAUUUUUCCGGUACGAUUUUGAUUUUUUAAUAAGUUGAAUCUGGCACAAAAAGAACUCCGUGGUCAGGAACAAUGGCGUGCAACAGCAACGGUUUCAGCGGAAGAGUAAGUAAAUUACGGAAGUGAGUUUCACUGCGGGCGUAAACACGAUUUCCGGCAAUGAUAUUCUUUUUUCCUCUACUUCCAGAGCAGAAGGGCAGCAGCGAAAUCUCGCUGGACACCGAUUCUGGUGUAGAGAACGACGACUUCAGCUUCGUUACGUCCCCUGCCAGAACCAACACAUCAAUUUUGGAACCAGUGGCCAGCGGUGACGGAGUGGUCUGUGGUGCUGUGAAACCAUCGGGAACGACGACAGGAAUGGCUAAAUACCGGGAGAAGCUACCGAUGCCACCAGAGAAACAGUAAGGAAAAAAAAGCUCGUGUUUAAGGGAAACAAACAAUCUUUUCUUUUAGAAUUUCAUCUCGUCUUAAUAGCCUUGGCCAGUGGAUACGGAAAGUGGUCCGGCUCGGUCGCGGAAAGUGGUUCAAUUCCGCUCUGUAUGAGCAAUAGUGAUGAGCUUAGCGAAAACCCCUUCAAUCGGAUCAAGAGCCAACAGAUCCGGCGUCCCUAAAACCAACGGAACCGAUCCUGCAGUGUGUCAUCAAAGCGGCCAUGAACGAGGAGAUUUAGAAAGCGUCCAGCUGGGUGGUUCCGAUGAACGCCGCACCGUCGUUCCUUGUAGGUUUCUUUCUUAACGCGAUAGACAGCUCCGUCCCACCCUAACAGUGAAGUUCCGGAUGAGUACAACAAACAUUGGCGGGACAUGGUUGGCGUCGAAGGUCAAAACCGGCCGCAGGAGGGUGGCCAACAGUGACAUGUCCGGAGAAUUAUGCAAUAGAAUUUAGGAAAGAUCUUGGUAUGCCCAUCAACUUCCAAGAGCUGAUCCAGUUGCCCUGGACAAAAGAAAUUGGCCCAUCAUUCAGCACUUCUAAGCUGUAUCGGACCUCCUUGGAGUUGCAUCGUGUCAAGAACACGUGCGCGUGGAAGGCUUUAGUCUGCCAAAAGGGGCCGGCACUAGACAAAUAGCUCGUCGACGGAACUGACCUCGCAGUUCAACAACAAAGCGGACCAGAAGCUGAGCAUCGUUGACACGUGUCGCAUCGUUGACCGAGGAGAAAAUGAAAGCUGUCCUGCUGGUUGGUUACGGCGAAGUUACGCCCAGAUGAUUCCGGCCGCCACAGACUUAAUUCCGGCCCAACGUGAGUGAGGAUAGCCGGGCACGUAGGACACGUGCAAUACAUCGGUGCUAGAAGCGGAUAUAUCCAACCUGGGUGUACGCAAUCAUCUUUUUAAGAACUCAAGAGAUUCGCCGACGGAUUAGAACAGCUCGAUUAGGAUCCCGCGAUGGCCGUUUCCUGUGUCGCCCGAGAACCUGCAAGUUGAGAGAACAAAGAAGGCUAAUCUCAGUGUAAUAUUUUUUUUCUCUGUAAAUAGGCUGACAAUGAUUGAGAUGCUCUACGAACGCGUCCAGGUUCGGUUGACGAAGACCGAUCCAUGUACUUGUCCAUAACAAGCGGUCCAACGUGGAUCCUCAACCAAACUUCAAAACCACUUCAAUGGAAAUGACGGCGGAACCGACCUCCCGGGGCGUCACCAACAUGGUUCAGCUGCUGAGUUCGAUCCGGAAAAGGCCGUGCUGUGUGCCACCUCUUUGGCCGAGGAGAAUGUGAAAGUUAGUCUUGCCAAUAGCGCGGCGUCGUGUCUCGCAGGAUACUUUCGUUUCGACCCAGACGAAACCGGCUGCCAUCCGGCGCAUAAAUCGCCGUUAUAGAGUAGCUUAUGAUAAUGGUUCCGUUAGCAAUCAUCACAUCAACUGAAUCCCGACUUAACGUGAGUGAGGUACCGCCGCAAGGAUACCGGAAGUUGAUCCGGCUGACGUGGACAUUCGCAAGCAGCACGAUCGUUCCAUGCUGCUGAUUCCGGUGGCAUCCCACGAAUGCAGCAAAUCCGUCGAGAUAACUCCAAACAAGCAGGCUGUGGCCAAUAUGAGCUAGUUAGUGUUCGGUGAUGAACGGGCUAAACAGCAACCAAGCGGCCCCGGGCCACGGGCAGCAAGCUUCGUUACCGCCGCAGUUCCGUGCGCAGAUACAGAUGUAUUGUGGUAGCGGAGGAGCAGGUGGAUGUUCCGGAUCGCCAUCGCCUCCGUCGGACGGUCCACCUUCGUUGGGACCGAUGGACAACCGGGACAAUAGUGGAAUGCAAAAUAACAAUGUUGGCGGAGGCGGAACAAUGAAAUACUGAGCUUCGUCUCGGGCGGUACAAAUCAUCAGAACCUCGGCGGAAGCGUAAGUCAGGAGCAGCAGCAGGGGGCAAGUGUCGACCAGCGGGACAGCAGCAGCGUUGAGGAAUAGAUCGUACCAUGAUUAUCAUGCGUCGUAUUGACUCCGAUGAGGAGGAUCGCUUCAGCAGCGGUGCCCGAAGUCGUCCAGCAAGAUGAGCGGCGGCGGUGGCCGUACAACAGUACAACGCAGUUCAAUCAAGGCCCUUUGAGUGAUGACAACUGCCAUCGCCAGCACAAUCAGCAGCUGCAACAGAUCUUUGGAGAGUGAAGCGGAAAAGUAGGAUCAUCGUCUGGUGGAGGCAGUCGCUGCGUUGGGCAAAAAAAAACCAGUACCACCAGCAACACGAUUCGCGAGCUGUGGAAUCGAAGCUGAAGUCGGACAGCUGUACCACUUGGAGAUGGUCCAGGAGAAGCCGGUGGUAGCGGAACCAAUGCUGCGAGAGCUUAGGUCAAAUAAUGUUGCGCCACCCCCAAAAAGUGGGAGGACAUGGAUCGACCAGGACGUAGGACCAGAGAUGCCAAAAAAAAGUCACGCGCUGGAUUUUCUAGACAAAUGGCAUGACGGCGGAUUCGACCUCGCUUGCCGUCAACAGACGGUCUUCAAACUGAGGAACCUUACCAUCGUCAACAUAACGGAGACACUCACCGAGAAGGACGGAAGCGGUACGCGUAUGUAAGAGAUCAAAAAGAUGGACGACGAAUACUUAUGCUUCGUUAUGGAACGUGCACCAUCUCCUCCGUGGUCCAUCCAAGGACA
Long non-coding RNA from Culex pipiens pallens (northern house mosquito), 3273 nucleotides. RefSeq lists it as uncharacterized. NCBI's taxonomy places the organism in Eukaryota, Metazoa, Arthropoda, Insecta, Diptera, Culicidae. The transcript is spliced from 3 exons. The record is from RefSeq and is a predicted model, not a curated record.